Molecule: ribosomal RNA, 496 nt
Filed under: uncultured bacterium
Lineage: Bacteria
Description: partial 16S ribosomal RNA
Rfam family: Bacterial small subunit ribosomal RNA
Source: RNAcentral
GACGAACGCUGGCGGCGUGCCUAAUACAUGCAAGUUGAGCGCUGAAGGUUGGUACUUGUACCAACUGGAUGAGCAGCGAACGGGUGAGUAACGCGUGGGGAAUCUGCCUUUGAGCGGGGGACAACAUUUGGAAACGAAUGCUAAUACCGCAUAAAAACUUUAAACACAAGUUUUAAGUUUGAAAGAUGCAAUUGCAUCACUCAAAGAUGAUCCCGCGUUGUAUUAGCUAGUUGGUGAGGUAAAGGCUCACCAAGGCGAUGAUACAUAGCCGACCUGAGAGGGUGAUCGGCCACAUUGGGACUGAGACACGGCCCAAACUCCUACGGGAGGCAGCAGUAGGGAAUCUUCGGCAAUGGACGAAAGUCUGACCGAGCAACGCCGCGUGAGUGAAGAAGGUUUUCGGAUCGUAAAACUCUGUUGGUGGAGAAGAACGUUGGUGAGAGUGGAAAGCUCAUCAAGUGACGGUAACUACCCAGAAAGGGACGGCUAACUACGU